This 24-nucleotide non-coding RNA is filed under the name Arabidopsis thaliana (thale cress). The record is from RNAcentral. Lineage: Eukaryota; Viridiplantae; Streptophyta; Magnoliopsida; Brassicales; Brassicaceae.
AGCCACGAUGAGGGCAUUGGUUGG